Molecule: non-coding RNA, 91 nt
Organism: Filobasidium floriforme
Lineage: Eukaryota; Fungi; Basidiomycota; Tremellomycetes; Filobasidiales; Filobasidiaceae
Source: the annotation of a RefSeq genome assembly
GGCUUGCUCGAAGUUCAGUGGUAGAAUAUACGAUUCCAACCACCAAGUCUUUGUUAUCGUGCGGUCGUCCGUUCAAUCCGGGCAGGGGUCA